UGCAAUCGGUUGGUAUCAUAGCCACC
RNAcentral lists this non-coding RNA (26 nucleotides) under Mus musculus (house mouse). Lineage: Eukaryota; Metazoa; Chordata; Mammalia; Rodentia; Muridae. The record is from RNAcentral.